This 400-nucleotide ribosomal RNA is filed under the name uncultured Actinocorallia sp. Its description in RNAcentral is "bacterial SSU rRNA". It matches the Rfam family "Bacterial small subunit ribosomal RNA", at positions 981 to 1375 of the family's 1533-position model. The record is from RNAcentral. Lineage: Bacteria; Bacillati; Actinomycetota; Actinomycetes; Streptosporangiales; Thermomonosporaceae.
UUGACAUGCACGGAAAUCCUCCAGAGAUGGUGGGUCCGUAAGGGCCGUGCACAGGUGGUGCAUGGCUGUCGUCAGCUCGUGUCGUGAGAUGUUGGGUUAAGUCCCGCAACGAGCGCAACCCUCGUUCCAUGUUGCCAGCAACACCUUCGGGUGGUUGGGGACUCAUGGGAGACUGCCGGGGUCAACUCGGAGGAAGGUGGGGAUGACGUCAAGUCAUCAUGCCCCUUAUGUCUUGGGCUGCAAACAUGCUACAAUGGCCGGUACAGAGGGCUGCGAUACCGCAAGGUGGAGCGAAUCCCUUAAAGCCGGUCUCAGUUCGGAUUGGGGUCUGCAACUCGACCCCAUGAAGUCGGAGUCGCUAGUAAUCGCAGAUCAGCAACGCUGCGGUGAAUACGUUCCC